Molecule: long non-coding RNA, 4749 nt
Organism: Numida meleagris (helmeted guineafowl)
Lineage: Eukaryota; Metazoa; Chordata; Aves; Galliformes; Numididae
Exons: 4
Source: RefSeq, a predicted model, not a curated record
AGAAAAUACUUGAACUUUGAGAAAAGAAGAAAAACCAAAACAAUACAGUAAGAUCAAAGCAAAAUCUCUGUUAAUUUUUCUUUUACAGAGUUUCCUUCUUUUCCUCCUUGUAUUUUCGGGGAUGUUUUUGCUCUUGGAGGUCACCCUAAGCUAUUCUUUGGAGAAAGAUGACAUGGAAACCUCGAUAGCAUUAAAGCAAUCCCAAAAGGGAUUAGGAUCAGAUCUGAGGACAAAAUUUCUGCUUCAAUCAACCGUAACUGUUCCACUGCUCUUGUUUUGCAUACAAGAAUCCAAGAUGUGAAGGCAGUGUGGCAGAAGCAGCUCUGCAAUAUGCUCUGAAGAGGACGACUUCACUAAGCGUUUGGCAUUUUCUUCCUUGAGAUAACACAUGGUAAUAGAAAUAAAUCAGAGCUGGAAGGACAGAUCGCUUCCUAGCUGUGCCGUUCACUUAACAAAAUGGACUCAUCCUGCAAUGGGACAUUUUCCACCAAAACCAGUUGUUUGUAUGCAUCUGCACUGAGUAUGUACUCUUUCUGAAUCUGAGUCCACGGGCAGAAGUGGUCACCAAGUCAGAGGAUCCUAAAAGAGCUAAAUGAAGCACAAAAUGUUCCAGGAGUGCCUGACUCACAGUAAAUGGCAGCCAGUCUUUGCUGAGCCCAGCAGCCAUGAAACUGAGGCCUGGAAAUUGAGGAAAAGAAACACUAAUGACCUGGAAACGUAUGGCCUGGAAAGAAACACUGCCCACAGAAGGAGCAGAAACAGCUUCCCUCCUACCACCCCACUGAGUCUCAAAAAAGAAUUAUUCUUUUCUUUGUGUUCAUCCUGCAUCUCUGACACUCUCAUGAAAUCAUGAAUUUACAUCAGCCAGGUGCCUCGGUGAAGGAAAUGAAAAUACUGGACUGUUUUGCAAGAAGAAAGACGCUGAAGAAGAACAUCCAUCAGGAGACCUUUUGGCCCUUUCUUUUCAUUCUGUGGAGAAUCUAAGCUUCAGGACAUCAGGGGCCAGAGUUCCCAGGGCCUCUUGUUUCCUACCUGUGGCCAGCCCAACGAUGACUUGCCCUGGAGUGGGGAUGUCAGCAGCAAUCCACUCCUCAGCAUCAUAUCAAGCAACCCAGCAGGAAACCACUUCAUGACCCAUCUUACUUGUGCUUUAUCAGAAGACUGUCAAACAGACACAUUUCCUAAAGACAUUGUCAUUCUAAAUUGCCCUUUUCUAAUCUGUUUCACUGGAAAAUUCCUGAAAUGCCCUAACUAAUAUCCAAGGAUGCGAAAGAAACUGAAAGGUAGCAAGUAAGCUGAGAAUUAUUUCGAACUUUUUCCCUGUGCAACAUAAUUCAGAUAUGAAACCCAUUAGGCCAUAGUGUCUCUUAGGCCAGGAAUUUAGCAAGAUUUGGAAAGAGCUGGGAAUGUAUGUUGAUGUGCUUAUUUGCAGUAGUGUUAAGUAAUGCCACAAAAGUUGGUUUGGGAAGUGUUGUGAGAACUAUUAAAUCAGGACACAAGCUUGUGCCCUGUCUGCUAUUGUUUAGGAUGAGACCUUCACUGAUCUCUCUUGCUAUAAUGGGCUGAAAUGUAAUUGUAUUACCUAUAGAUGUGUAUUGUAGAGGUUGUUCCUUGUGAUCUCCCUGUAUGAACAACCAAUGAGUUUCAGUUCUAGUCACUAUCAGAGUAAUAGUGUUCAUUUACUUGUAUCUCAUCCUGAUUGGAUGGGAGAGGCUUAAAUAACAAGAUUUCCUAUUAAAUAUUAAGACUCUUCUUUGAUGCCCUAAAGAUGUUUAAUCUGAGAGAUUAUUUCCUUGAUGUUCUGAGUUGCCAUAACUGCCUUUGGAAACAUAGAGGAAAAGAGGCUUUUUCUCUUCCAAGGGGCUUGGGCCUAUGCUUUUGAGACCAAGGAGGGUUGGAGGUGAGGAAUGGGCAGCAAAAGUUUCUGGGGUGCCAUGUCUGCACAGGGAUAUGUGGGUACAGUAUCCUCCAGGAAGGGAGGAUAGUUUGAGGGAGGAACUGGAUGUCUAGCAAAUGACAUUUCAAAUUCCUGAACUGCAAAGUCAUGGCCAAGUUUACAAUGACAGACUUUGCUGUCUCACUAAUUUUGUCAGGUAGGUUAAGGUCAACAUUUCUAGCAUACAAAAUCACUUUUUGAGCAUGAUUCACCUCACUUAAUUUUAGCCACUUAAGACUAAGUCUAGUGAUGGAGAGCCCCUAUAUCCUCAGCACAUGGAGAAAAGCCUGUCAACAGGAUGAUUCAUCUAUCUGGUCUCUGAUAUCUGUGACAGAACAUGUUGAACCACUCUCAGAAGAGCUCAUCUCUUUCCACUGACUUGAGCGGGAGUCCAGACACACCAGGUCAUGCUAGAUGCGUAAUGCUCAGUCAUCUCAAGUUAAAUGAGAUAAAUCUUCCUCCUUGGGUAGCUGUGCUUAUAGCAGAAAUAGCAAAAAGCACUAAUAAACUUUAUUAUUAUUUAAUCACCUCAUGCUCACUGAAAUGGCCAACACAAUGUAAAUUGUACGAGUACCAGCAAAGAGGAGGCUGCCUUCAGAGCUAUGUCAGUAAGGACCCACAGCUACAUUCCUUUCCCUUUCAGCUCUUAGACUUUAAUCUCUGUCAAAUUCUCUUCUACUUUUUCUCAACAGGUGAGUAAUAUCACAUGGAGCUGAGAAAAAAUGUAAGAACAUGGGAGCAUAUUAGCUCUGGUGUGCACCAAAGCUUUCUUGUUUUUUGUCUCCUGUACCCAUUGGCCUAAUGAAAGAUACUAGCUUUGCCUACUUCCUAUUCUCUUACCAUCAAGGCAGCCACAAAACUCCCUUUACCUUGCCCUCAGCUGAUCUCUGAUGAAGAACAUACUCUAAGCCUGUUGUGAGAUAAACUUGUGCUUUUAAAAUGUACACUUGUCUAUUGGUGCCUCAAGCCAGCAGAAUUGCUUGUGUCUUGUAAAAUCAGAACAUGCUUAAGCAUCUCCUGGUGAUGAGAUGCUCUCAUCUGCAAAUAGCAACACUUGUGGCUUUUUCACGUAAGAACUUGAGAGGUUAUGCAUCUAUGAAAGAGGGAUUUUCUGCGUUUUAUCCACAAAAGCAAAUUGACUUCCAGAAGUCUAUAAGUUUCCCGGACCAGAAAAUCACUGGAAGCAGAAAUGAAUGACAAAAAAAACCCAUACAUGGGACAGCAUUACUCAUGCAAUGACUCUGUCUCUUACAGGAAGAAAAAAAUCCCAGAGAAAACCUCAGAGGAGAAGCACGCAGGGAAUUUCUGUGCUUCACAAAUCCCUCGUUUUGGGUGCCUAAGUAACAGUGCAUGCCAUCUGGGACACUUCUUGCGCAGUCACACUUUGGUAGCUGCUCAUUGUCCUUCUAGGGAAAUAUACAGUAAGUCGUGCAAAUAGAGGCAGCGUGGAGACUUCCGUCUCCCACUGGCGAGGAAUGUGGGUGUGGAUCACACCAGGCUCCGGCCCGGCCCCUCUGGGGCACUGCCUUUGCAUGGCCUGAGAACAAUAACCACGGGGAAGUGUUAAGAGACCUUUGUGAUGGGGGUGGAGAGGAGAAAAAAAUACCAUCCCAGCGCAUUGCAUAGUGCUAUUUCUGGAGAUCAAUGGUAUGUGCGUAUGUUGACAUGCUGCCUUUGCUCACCUGUCCAGGAUGCUCACAGAAGUGGGUGGCUGAUGUUAUGGCACAGACCGUGCAGUGGCCUUGGUUUCCCCUGAGGAUGACUUGUUCUUGGAUGGGGUGACAGUUCCCUCUGUUGUAAGCUGUGGCUUCUCACUGCUGCCAGAGGGGAGCUCUGCAAGCGCUGCCUCUUAGGAUGCACCUGGUGGAGAGACUGAGAAAGCAGCCGCGGCACAAGCUUAAGAGCAUCCUAAAAUAGCUAGCUACGUGUUUACCACCAUCUGCUUUGCUAGCCAGCUCUCUUGGUCUUCACGCAUAUCAAAGUAAUUAAGUGCUGCAGCUCAUUUUCAUGUUGUGUGGGGCUCAUGUGCACAUAUCCCACCCACAUCGAAGAGAACAUGUAUUCCCUGUGCUGUGGUUUGGAGCAAGUAGCUCCUGCUAAAGUUUCUUAUGUAACACCACCAUCUUGCUGGCUAUUUCUAAAUCCAGACUGGAUGCUUGCUUAAAAGGCAUCUUAAAAAAUCUGAGCUGGGAAGCCCUUGAAGAGGGCUGCGAUAACCCAUCCUUUCGCACCUGCAAGACAAGAGCCAUGCCGUACUUCUGGCACUGCCGUCAGCGUGGGCAGCCUUCUCCAAUGGCCAGGACUAUACUAUGUCCACUGGCAAAGGUUAUGACCACUCACCACAGCUACUGCAACAAAAACGCCGGCUGUUUUGGUCGGUGGGAUCUUAUCACCAGCAGUAACAAAGGAGGGAAAUGUAGGUAGCCAGAAAGGACCCAUGGGUGCAGCGGUCAGGCAGUGAUGCUAAUCAGUAUUGUAAGAGUGGAUUGCCUGUCCGUGUGCCCUCCCAGCCCUGCUAAGUAGCAGAUGCCUGUGGCAGGUUUGAUGUUUUUGGACAUUAGCUGCUGCUGCCUGCAGCAGCCAUUGCUGAUGCUGCAUCCUCUCAAAACUCAGGACAGUUAUUUAGCUGUUAUUAUCUGGAAGAUAACAGUUGCUUGUGGGCACUCCUGUUUGAAAGUAUCUGACAUUUGACAAAUGUCUCUCAGCUACUACAAACAAAUAAAUGUUGCUUUUCUUCUUUGCUCUGAUUUCCCCAGAAGCAAAUGCAGUGUAAAUAAGCAAGCUGUGACUGUCUUUAGCUCUGGUUCUGUGCU